RNAcentral lists this ribosomal RNA (237 nucleotides) under Clostridioides difficile. Its description in RNAcentral is "partial 16S ribosomal RNA". It matches the Rfam family "Bacterial small subunit ribosomal RNA", at positions 246 to 500 of the family's 1533-position model. The record is from RNAcentral. Lineage: Bacteria; Bacillati; Bacillota; Clostridia; Peptostreptococcales; Peptostreptococcaceae.
UAGUUGGUAAGGUAACGGCUUACCAAGGCGACGAUCAGUAGCCGACCUGAGAGGGUGAUCGGCCACAUUGGAACUGAGACACGGUCCAAACUCCUACGGGAGGCAGCAGGGGGGAAUAUUGCACAAUGGGCGAAAGCCUGAUGCAGCAACGCCGCGUGAGUGAUGAAGGCCUUCGGGUCGUAAAACUCUGUCCUCAAGGAAGAUAAUGACGGUACUUGAGGAGGAAGCCCCGGCUAA